CUUCUCUCCAAAGGGAAGCUCUGGACCAGCUUCCGUUGCUCAUCUCUGCUGAGCUCCCUGAGUUGAAAAGCCUGUAUCUGUGCAGGUUAAAGGGAGAACAGUUGUUGUUGCUGCUGUGACAGGUUAAAGGUGAGGUAAAAAAUGAUUUUCAGAAGUAUGAAUGUUAUAAGAAACGAAAGCUAUUUGGUAACUGUGAGUCUUUUCCUGUCAUACCUGGUGGAGAGUGAGGAAGAGACUGGAAAACCUUGCCUUUGUUUCAUUCAACUACGCAGUGAAAGAAGCUACCUUUUUACAGAGAGGAAAUUCUUAGGAGCAAGCUAACAUCCCUUCUUGCAAUCAACUUGCAGGGUAAUUUUAGGUCUUCUACUGCUCUGUACCUCAGUGAUCUGAUGGUCUGUACCAUCUUUGUUUAACAAGCUUAUAUUACUACAUACUACGUAGCUUCUAAUAUUGAAUAAGAGUAUGUGUUCCUGGGGCGCCUGGGUGGCUCAGUCGUUAAGCGUCUGCCUUCGGCUCAGGUCCUGGUCCCAGGGUCCUGGGAUCGAGCCCCGCGUCGGGCUCCCCGCUCCACGGGAAGCCUGCUUCUCCCUCUCCCACUCCCCCUGCUUGUGUUCCCUCUCUUGCUGUA
Molecule: long non-coding RNA, 628 nt
Organism: Mirounga angustirostris (Northern elephant seal)
Lineage: Eukaryota; Metazoa; Chordata; Mammalia; Carnivora; Phocidae
Exons: 5
Source: RefSeq, a predicted model, not a curated record